This 53-nucleotide transfer RNA is filed under the name Aleurodicus dugesii (Doogie Howzer whitefly). Its description in RNAcentral is "tRNA-Ser". Lineage: Eukaryota; Metazoa; Arthropoda; Insecta; Hemiptera; Aleyrodidae. The record is from RNAcentral.
UUUAAAUUAAACUAAUAAUUUAUAUUUUGAAAAUAUAAUUUAGAUUUUUAAAU